CUGCUCCUGCCCACUCUGCUUCCACCCCUCCCUGGAGAAUGGUGGCUAGGAACACGGAGCAGAGACUCACCGCGGGCCCAUGCCCGGUUUGGCACGUGCCUCGGCCGUGAGGAGGAGGAGGGAUGCAAGCUUCGCUCCUCUACCCUGGUGCCCAGCAGGCGUACACCACCACAUGCCUACUAGGAAGCCACGGGGAGGAGGACCUAGUGCCGAACCCACAGCCCUGGCCUCCGUGGACAUGCCUCCCCCCUACCCCAGCAGGGAACAGAUGACCCCUAGAGAGCGCCCCACUGUCUACCCCGAGGUCCAAGCUUGCAGAGGCCACUCUGAAGUUGGCUGUCCAUCGGCCUCUUAACUGGGCUGUUUUUCGUCCAACUUCUCUACUGCACUUAAGAUGAUUUGCCAAAAACCCCUCCACCACCAUAUUAGCUGGAACAUUUGGGGUUGAAGUGACAGAACUCCCAAACAAAUAGGUUUGAGCUGUACCCCGUCUCUACCAAAAAAAAAA
RNAcentral lists this long non-coding RNA (508 nucleotides) under Homo sapiens (human). RNAcentral's name for it is "non-protein coding PRR7-AS1:3". The record is from RNAcentral. Lineage: Eukaryota; Metazoa; Chordata; Mammalia; Primates; Hominidae.